RNAcentral lists this ribosomal RNA (301 nucleotides) under uncultured bacterium. RNAcentral's name for it is "partial 16S ribosomal RNA". It matches the Rfam family "Bacterial small subunit ribosomal RNA", at positions 509 to 807 of the family's 1533-position model. The record is from RNAcentral.
CAGUAGCCACGGGAAUACGGAGGGUGCAAGCGUUAUCCGGAUUUACUGGGCGUAAAGCGUGCGUAGGCGGCUAAUUGAGUCGGAUGUGAAAUCCCCGAGCUUAACUUGGGAAUUGCAUUCGAUACUGGUUAGCUAGAGUGUGGGAGAGGAUGGUAGAAUUCCAGGUGUAGCGGUGAAAUGCGUAGAGAUCUGGAGGAAUACCGAUGGCGAAGGCAGCCAUCUGGCCUAACACUGACGCUGAGGUACGAAAGCAUGGGGAGCAAACAGGAUUAGAUACCCCCGUAGUCCCUGUCUCUUAUAC